RNAcentral lists this ribosomal RNA (481 nucleotides) under uncultured bacterium. RNAcentral describes it as "partial 16S ribosomal RNA". It matches the Rfam family "Bacterial small subunit ribosomal RNA", at positions 30 to 506 of the family's 1533-position model. The record is from RNAcentral.
AUUGAACGCUGGCGGCAUGCUUUACACAUGCAAGUCGAACGGUAACAGGCCGCAAGGUGCUGACGAGUGGCGAACGGGUGAGUAAUGCAUCGGAACGUGCCCAGUCGUGGGGGAUAACUACUCGAAAGAGUAGCUAAUACCGCAUACGAUCUAUGGAUGAAAGCGGGGGACCGUAAUGCCUCGCGCGAUUGGAGCGGCCGAUGUCAGAUUAGGUAGUUGGUGGGGUAAAGGCUCACCAAGCCAACGAUCUGUAGCUGGUCUGAGAGGACGACCAGCCACACUGGGACUGAGACACGGCCCAGACUCCUACGGGAGGCAGCAGUGGGGAAUUUUGGACAGUGGGCGCAAGCCUGAUCCAGCAAUGCCGCGUGCAGGAAGAAGGCCUUCGGGUUGUAAACUGCUUUUGUACGGAACGAAACGGCUCUGGUUAAUACCCGGGGCUAAUGACGGUACCGUAAGAAUAAGCACCGGCUAACUACGU